RNAcentral lists this ribosomal RNA (489 nucleotides) under uncultured bacterium. RNAcentral describes it as "partial 16S ribosomal RNA". It matches the Rfam family "Bacterial small subunit ribosomal RNA", at positions 28 to 507 of the family's 1533-position model. The record is from RNAcentral.
GACGAACGCUGGCGGCGUGCUUAACACAUGCAAGUCGAACGGUGAAGGGACCAGCUUGCUGGUUCUGGAUGAGUGGCGAACGGGUGAGUAACACGUGAGUAACCUGCCCCCUUCUUCUGGAUAACCGCAUGAAAGUGUGGCUAAUACGGGAUAUUCUGGGUCUGUCGCAUGGCGGGCCCGGGAAAGAUAUUGCUUCGGUGGGGGAUGGGCUCGCGGCCUAUCAGCUUGUUGGUGGGGUGAUGGCCUACCAAGGCGGUGACGGGUAGCCGGCCUGAGCGGGUGGACGGUGGCACUGGGGCUGAGACACAGCCCAGACUCCUACGAGAGGCAGCAGUAGGGAAUAGUGCGCGAUGGGCGCAAACCUGAUGCAGCGACGCCGCGUGAGGGAUGGAGGCGUUCGGGGUGUAAACCUCUUUCGCCAGUGAAGCAGGCCUGCUCCUUGUGGGUGGGUUGACGGUAGCUGGAGAAGAAGCGCCGGCUAACUACGUG